This is an unclassified non-coding RNA of Papio anubis (olive baboon), 147 nucleotides long. It matches the Rfam family "Metazoan signal recognition particle RNA". From Rfam's summary of the family: The signal recognition particle (SRP) is a universally conserved ribonucleoprotein. It is involved in the co-translational targeting of proteins to membranes. NCBI's taxonomy places the organism in Eukaryota, Metazoa, Chordata, Mammalia, Primates, Cercopithecidae. The record is from Ensembl.
GCCGGGCGUGGUGGCGGGCGCCUGUAGUCCCAGCUACUCGGAGGCUGAGGCGGGAGAAUGGCGUGAACCCGGGAGGUGGAGCUUGCAGUGAGCCGAGAUCAGGCCACUGACCUCCAGCCUGGGUGACAGAGUGAGACUCCGUCUCAA